This is a non-coding RNA of Cinara cedri, 504 nucleotides long. Lineage: Eukaryota; Metazoa; Arthropoda; Insecta; Hemiptera; Aphididae. The record is from the annotation of a GenBank genome assembly.
GUAUGGCUUUUAUUUAAUUUUAAGAUGUUACAUAAGUAAUAAAAAAAUGAUUUUAUUGAAACUAUCUGUUAAUAAUUUGUCACUGAUACCGGUUUCCUUCAGUUAAUUCUGCAUUUAUUUGGAUAACAAUAUUGUUUGGUGGUAAAUUAUUUUCCAUACUAAAAUCAAUUUCAUCAGUUUCGUUGAUUAAUUAACAUUGACUAAUGGCAAGUUAUUGGAUAUUCAAAUGUUAUGCAAUACUGCACAAACAUUUAUAAUGUUUUCAGCCUUUUCUGGUGAGUAGUGAAGGACUCUGUGUUUCAAAAGACACCUAAAUCGAAUUUUCAAAAUACAAUUGCAGUGUUCAAUAAUCGAUCUAGUUUUACACAACCGUUCAUUAUACCGGGCUUUAGGACUGUUUACAUGUGGUUUAAAUAAUAGAGUCAUUAACCAGGGUUAACCCAUAUCCCGAAUCACCGAGUAAAAAGUAAAAUGUUUGUCCUAUUUAAUGUAAGUGUUUUAACG